CGCCUCUUGUUCUCAUAAGAGGUCCAGCCUGCCCAGUGAUUUAUUCAACGGCCGCGGUAUCCUAACCGUGCGAAGGUAGCGUAAUCACUUGUCUUCUAAAUAAAGACCAGUAUGAAAGGCAUCACGAAGACUAAGCUGUCUCCUCUCUCCAAUCAGUGAACCUAAUCUCCCCGUGAAGAAGCCGGGAUCCAACUAUAAGACGAGAAGACCCUAUGGAGCUUUAAACACCGUAACACUGCCACCACCCCCACUCACUCCGGUGCAUCAGCUAAACGGCACUCUGAUUACAUGUUUUUGAUUGGGGUGAUCGCGGAGAAAAACUUAUCCUCCGCAAUGAAAGGGACCUCCCCCUAAACAACAAGUUACAACUUUAUGCAUCAAAAAAUUGACAUUUAUUGACCCAAUAAUUGAUUAACGAACCAAGUUACCCUAGGGAUAACAGCACAAUCCACUUUGAGAGCCCGUAUCGACAAGUGGGCUUAUGACCUCGAUGUUGGAUCGGGAUAUCCUAGUGGUGCAACCGCUACUAAAGGUUCGUUUGUUCAACGAUUAAAACCCC
This 559-nucleotide ribosomal RNA is filed under the name Pristimantis platydactylus (flat-fingered robber frog). Its description in RNAcentral is "partial 16S ribosomal RNA". It matches the Rfam family "Bacterial large subunit ribosomal RNA", at positions 1817 to 2597 of the family's 2925-position model. The record is from RNAcentral. Lineage: Eukaryota; Metazoa; Chordata; Amphibia; Anura; Strabomantidae.